Hippocampus comes (tiger tail seahorse) is the source of this 181-nucleotide long non-coding RNA. RefSeq lists it as uncharacterized. The transcript is spliced from 2 exons. The record is from RefSeq and is a predicted model, not a curated record. Lineage: Eukaryota; Metazoa; Chordata; Actinopteri; Syngnathiformes; Syngnathidae.
AAUAAAUCAAAAUAAUUAAAACAGGACAAAAAAAAUAAUGGUUAUUGAGCUCAAUUCAAGACUUAUCUACAUACAACCAUCACUGAAUGUGAUUGAAACUCAAUUAGGUCUGCAACUAAUGAGUAUUUUAAUAAUCAGAUAUUUUCGAUAUUAUUUUGUUGAUUCAUGAAUGGAUCAGAUU